AAAUCCGGGAUUCCGGCGAGGGGCGGCGGCGCCGGCGCCGGCGAGACGGCGAACGCUCCUCCGGUGCGGGAGGAGAUGAGGGAGGGAGAGAGGGACGGCGUUCGUGGUGGGGAUUCACCGGCUGCGACGGGCGCUCGGUAAAAUACAGGCUGCAGAAACCCUUGCAUUUGGUUGGAUUGUGAAUCUGUGAUGCAAAACCUAGGCUGUUUUUCUUCUGAAACCUGAACUAUGUUGAUUGGGAAUGUCUUUGAAGAGUGUUGUCAGAUCAGCACCUAGAUAUAAUUCUUCUGUACUCAUCAGUUAUAGGUGAUUUGCUCUGAUGCCUCAUUUGUUUAAGUUGAUUUGCACUUAUGCAGUCCACAGGGGUUGAAAUGGUUCUGAUUUUUUCGCCGGGUCGGCUUUGCCGACCAAACAAUAGUAUUAAGAAGGAGAAAAUUCAGAACUGUACAGAGCAAAAACAAAAGAGAGCAAACACACACACCCUGAAAAAAAAAUCAGAGGUGACACAGCUCCUACUAACAGAGCCGAAGCUCACACACACCCCUGUGCUGCUAACUAGCUGAUCCCUCUGGAUAUGGGGCUUCUUGCUUCAAUUUCGCACAGCAGACCGGCCGCUUUCCAAGCUUCCCAUUCUUCCACAAUUGUGGCACAAAGAUGUUCCGCUGAGGUUGCUCUUCCAUCAAACACUCUAGCAUUGCGUUCCUUCCAUAUGAGCCAUGUCACAAGGAUCACCCCGGCGUCAAAUGUCUUUCUGUCUUGCUUGCGCACUGAUUUUCGGACUGAACACCACCAAGAGGAAAGAUCUUCUGAUGGCACCGAGCAGGAAAGGCUAAGCCGAUCUCGAAUCCUUGUCCAAACCUGCUUUGUGAAGGGACAAUCAUGGAAGAUGUGGGAGCAGGACUCGCCGUCGUUUGCACAAAGGUGACAGAUCGAGGCCGAAAUGGUUCUGAUUUUGCUUCAGUAGAAUUCUGGUUACUAACCGUAAAGUUUUCUAUGCUCCCUAAAUUUACACACAAGUUUAUUUGAUUCACUGCUUAGGAAGUUUCAAUAUAUUAGAUAGGUAAAAUAUUACACAAGUUUAUUUGAUUCACUGCUUAGGAAGUUUCAAUAUAUUAGAUAGGUAAAAUAUCACAAGGUACUAUUAAGGCCCAUAAUUUUAUUCUCAUAGGGUUAACUAUUACUACAUGAGAGCUCACCUAUCAUUUAGUAACCAGCUAAUGCCUCUAGAAUGGUGUAUAGGGUAUUUAAAUCUUCAAUAUGAGCUCCCUGUGGCUGUGAUAGCUUGAAGUAAUCUUGGCAUUGGUGGCAUUUCAAGUUCUAACAAACCUUCAAGAAUUUGAACCACUUCGCCCAUGGUCGGCCGAUUAGACUCAUUUUCUUGGACACACCAGCAGGCCACCUUGCUUAUUCGUUCAGCCUCAUCCAGGUUAACAUCAUCAAGCAGUUUGUUAUCUAGCAAGCUCCUGACAUCUCCCUCGAGAAGUUCAUUUGCAACUUGCACAGGGAAAUAUGCAGCAUGAUCAUCAUCACUUGUGUCUUGUUUGCAUGAGUUCCUCCUACCUGACAUUAUUUCAAACAACACCAUUCCAUAGCUAUAGACAUCAACCUUGGAUGUAAUGGCCACUCCACUAAUUCAUUCUGGUGCAAGAUACCCUAUGGUUCCUCUAAAUGUAGUAAGAACUCUACUGAAAUCUCUUCCAACAAAUUUUGCCAUUCCAAAAUCUGCAAUUUUAGGCACAAAUGAUCCAUCAAGAAGUAUGUUCUCUGGCUUAAUAUCACAGUGUAUGAUGCAAUCCCUGCAACUCUCAUGCAGGUAUGCCAACCCUCUAGCAGCUCCAAGGGCUAUCUGGUAACGGGUACUCCAGUUUAGGAUCGUAGUAUGGUUCUGAAAAAGGUGCGUGUCAAGAGAGCAAUUUGGCAUGUGUUCAUAUACAAGCAGCCUCCUACCACUAUCAGAACAGAAUCCAAUAAGCUUAACCAAAUUGAUGUGUUGGAUUAUUCCAAUGGAACUCACCUCAGCCCUGAAUUGCUUCUCACCUUGACGGUCACCACCAAGCUUUUUUACUGCAAUAGGUGUCGAGCCACCUAGAAACCCUUUGAAUACAGCACCAAAGCCGCCUUCUCCUAAUUUCUCAGAGAAAUUUUUAGUUGCAUGUUGCAGAACACUGUAUUUGAAAGACACAAUUCCAUUUCCCCCUUGAACAUUAUUAGUAGGAGCAGUAAAUUGCUUCCUUUUGUACCUCCAGAUUACAGUAGCUGAAAACAAACCCAAAGCAACAACACUGGAAGCAACCGCAGCACCAAUAAUCUUUCCUUUUCCAUUUUUAUUAUGGCUCCAACUUGCGUCUUUGGCGGCAAUACGUAGGUAGAGAAUUUCUCCAUCACUAGUAGUACCUUUAUUAUACUCUUACAUUAAGCAAAUCAUCAUACCAUACAGAGCACCUGUUACCAUAGGAAUAUGCAGUGCAAGAACAAUUAUUCUGGCAAGCUAGUGCACAUUGGUCAGCUGUCCUAGCAGCUUCUAUGAUGUUGGCUUCUGUGGGCAAUCCAAUACCGGGCAAGGAGUAAAACUUGUCAGUUGUAGCAGUUCUGCUUUGGUUCUUGGUGCCGCAAUCUAAUGGUGUAUUUCUUAUGCAUCCACCAGCUCUAUCCUCUAACUCCCAAUCCUUAGGUGAUCUUACUGAGAAUCCCUUAAUGCAAUCGCACACUUGGAGUGCAUUGCUGUUGCAGACAGUGAAAGGUCCACAUGUAGCAUAGAUAUCACAUAGAUCUUUAGGCAGAGUAUAGAUCGUUGCCCAUUCCUGCUUGUUCUCAAGCCAGAGGAGCUGUUUCAUCUGACCAGAUAUGUCCAAAAAGCAAACAGUUAUUAGAUCUUUUUCUAACAAGUUGAACACAAAGUACUUCUCUUGGUUGUUGUUGAUGAACUUGAAGUCAAAUAGAGUUCGUCCUGACAUCUCUGGUAUUGAGUUGAAGAAUUGGCCAUUCCAUUCCCCAGUAGACCAAUAGACUAUGGAAGAGUUGCAAAACUCUAAGACGUAUUGGUUAGCACCAGUAGGGUCUAAUUCCAGGCAAUAGAGGCCAGCAGCUGGAUCAGCCAAACUCUUCUUGGAAACAAUAACACGGUUCAGACCAGUCACCUUAUCUAGGCCAAACUUUGCACCAAUAAGCAUGACAUCAGUAGGGUAGUCAAAGCUCUGCCAUAGUACGUUGGACGAGUUGGAUGCAUCUCUUAAGAUGAGGUUUCCAUUAUCCUGGAGGACAACCAUGGUUUUCUUGGCUGUGAUACUGGCAUGAGUCGACCAAACCGUCGAUCUGGUGGCUUGGUUGAAGAUGGCAAGGUUGCCAUCACUGGCAAUUGUGAGUUUUGUCACUCUGUGAUGGCCUACAAUUGGGUUCUCUCUGUUUGCUAUCCAUAUUGGAGUUAACACUGGUAUCUUGUCGAACCAUAUGCCUAGGUACCAGUGCUUGAGGGUGUGCCGGGGGAAGAACUUACUGUCGGUGUCCGGAUGGAAGAAGCCGAGCGCGAACCUGCCAUUGCGAGAGACAAGCUUCUCAUCUUUCGGGAGUGCUUCACCGGCUGAAAUCGUGUCCGUUGCAGCAGAACACGCCGGAGAAUGUAUGGAGAAGAGCAGAGGCACAAGAAUGAUGAAGGUACGAAGCAUGGUGAAUGAAGAGGAUAAGAACGAGGAAUGCGAUUUCGGUGUUUGGGGGUGCUGGUGCCAUGAUAUAUGCCUCUUAACAUGGUUGAAGAAUAUACAUGCUGCAUCAUUGCAUCUUGACGUGCUUUCUUUGAGACAUUUUUGCAGCCUUGCACUCACGUCAACUUCAAAACCUACUUUGCUGCCAAUUUUGGUGAUCAGCCACUACUGGUCUACUGCAGUCAAGCUUGGUAUAUUGGAUUGCACUGUGUUCAAGACUGUAACAGAACUCAUUUUGCUGACAUUGUAGAUGUUCUGACUAAAAUUACUUAAUUUUUGAACAUCAGUCGGCAGCAUGGAAUAUACAAUAUGUUUGGUAAAUUAAAAAAAAAAGGAAGGUAAAUAUGGCUAUACGCCUAUGUCUAGCACAAGGCAUCCACUUUUUUUUAAUGACACUUUGAAGGUCGUGUGAUUUUUCUAUCAAAUGCAUGCUAGCAAAGAUAUAAAAUUACCUUCCUAUCAACUCAUCAGUAGGGUUGGCAAUAGGCGGUGGGUGGCGUUGGCAACGGAGGAAAACAACGAAACUGAUUAGGAGGCGGCGGCCGGUGGUGGCGGAUCUAGCUACGGCGAGCCACCGGAGGUGAGAAAGACGGAGGGACGGGGGACUCGGUGCCACCCUCUCGCCGGCCUCGUUGACCCCUUCUAGCCAGGCGGCGGCGCGAUAGGGUGAUGACGGAGCAGGAGGUGGAGGCUCCGCGUGCGCGUGCGCAUGAAAGCAGCGGUGGCAUGCGGACCGAGGAAAAUAAAGAGAGAAAAAGAAGGGGGCUUAGUUAUGUUGCAUGAAUCUCAACGCGAUCCAAUGCUCUAGAAUUUGUAAUAUUUUAGGGGGUUUCAGUCAAAAACCAUAUAGACAAUCUCGGAAAAUAAAUAUAUUCUUCAACAUCAUCUCAUACAUUGCUACAUUUUGAAUAAAUAAAGUAAAAUCUAUGUUCAAAUCCGCAAAAUUGAAACGUCGCACUAAAAUAUAAAAUCAGGCUGGUCAAAUGCUUAUGAAGAAUUCAAAUACUUUGAAAUAUAAAACAUAUCUUAGUUUUACUCCCGUAUAAGAGUCUGUUAUUUAAGAUAGUUUGAAAGAUUGAGCACCUUAAAUGGUUUUCUACUGAAUACAUUGCCCAGCUUUCUUCGCUUUGAGUAGAAGAGAAAGAGUAGAACAGAACUGUUCAGAAAGAAUUAGCAAAACGAAGCAUAUCAGAGCUUUUAUUUUCUUUUCAAGAACAAAUAUGGUUUUUCUAUUCCUUUUAUUGCCCAUUUGCUUUCAUCAAAAUAUAGGGUGGACGUAUAUUAUUUUGUCUAUUGCAGCUAUAUACAUUUGAAAGGAAAAAAAAUUAAAGACGAGAUUUUGUCAAUGCAGCAGGUUUGAAGCUGGCGAUUCCGGUGAUCUCUCUUCCGGUCACCAAGCUGUUGAUGUCAUAGGUGCCUUCGUACGAGAAGAUUGGCUCCAGAUCAC
RNAcentral lists this long non-coding RNA (5145 nucleotides) under Oryza sativa (Asian cultivated rice). RNAcentral's name for it is "long non-coding RNA (OSAT_LNC000927)". The record is from RNAcentral. Lineage: Eukaryota; Viridiplantae; Streptophyta; Magnoliopsida; Poales; Poaceae.